RNAcentral lists this ribosomal RNA (761 nucleotides) under Alloprevotella tannerae. RNAcentral's name for it is "bacterial SSU rRNA". It matches the Rfam family "Bacterial small subunit ribosomal RNA", at positions 28 to 776 of the family's 1533-position model. Lineage: Bacteria; Pseudomonadati; Bacteroidota; Bacteroidia; Bacteroidales; Prevotellaceae. The record is from RNAcentral.
GAUGAACGCUAGCUACAGGCUUAACACAUGCAAGUCGUGGGGCAGCGGAUGCUUAGCUUGCUAAGUAUGCCGGCGACCGGCGCACGGGUGAGUAACGCGUACCGAACCUGCCCAUCACACAGGGAUAGGCUUGCGAAAGCAAGAUUAAUACCUGAUGGUCUCAGUUGUAUGCAUGUAUGAUUGAGUAAAGCCUUCGGGCGGUGAUGGAUGGCGGUGCGUCCCAUUAGGAAGUUGGCGGGGUAACGGCCCACCAAUCCUUCGAUGGGUAGGGGUUCUGAGAGGAAGGUCCCCCACAUUGGAACUGAGAUACGGUCCAAACUCCUACGGGAGGCAGCAGUGAGGAAUAUUGGUCAAUGGGCGGGAGCCUGAACCAGCCAAGUAGCGUGCGGGAUGAAGGCCCUUGUGGUCGUAAACCGCUUUUAUCAGUGAAUAAAGUGCACCACGUGUGGUGUCAUUGCAGGUAGCUGAAGAAAAAGGACCGGCUAAUUCCGUGCCAGCAGCCGCGGUAAUACGGAAGGUCCGGGCGUUAUCCGGAAUUAUUGGGUUUAAAGGGAGCGCAGGCGGGAGUGUAAGUCAGCUGUUAAAUAUCAGGGCCCAACUCUGUUAUGCAGUUGAAACUAUAUUUCUUGAGUACGCACAGGGAUGGCGGAAUUCAGGGUGUAGCGGUGAAAUGCUUAGAUAUCCUGAAGAACUCCGAUCGCGAAGGCAGCCAUCCGGAGCGUAACUGACGCUGAGGCUCGAAGGUGCGGGUAUCGAACAGG